GAGGAGAAGAGAUAUUGGCAGAGAUACAUAUAUUUGUGGAUAAAUUAUGCUCUCUAUGAAGAACUUGAUGCUGAAGAUAUGGAGAGAACACGGGAUGUAUACAGGGAAUGCAUGAACCUAAUUCCUCACAAGAAGUUUUCAUUUGCAAAGAUAUGGCUUUUAGCUGCUCAAUUUGAAAUUCGACAGUUGAAUCUCACAGGUGCUCGACAAAUUUUAGGCAAUGCCAU
RNAcentral lists this unclassified non-coding RNA (227 nucleotides) under Hevea brasiliensis (rubber tree). Lineage: Eukaryota; Viridiplantae; Streptophyta; Magnoliopsida; Malpighiales; Euphorbiaceae. The record is from RNAcentral.